CAGCAGCCGCGGUAAUACGAAGGGGGCUAGCGUUGUUCGGAUUUACUGGGCGUAAAGCGCACGUAGGCGGACUUUUAAGUCAGGGGUGAAAUCCCGGGGCUCAACCCCGGAACUGCCUUUGAUACUGGAAGUCUUGAGUAUGGUAGAGGUGAGUGGAAUUCCGAGUGUAGAGGUGAAAUUCGUAGAUAUUCGGAGGAACACCAGUGGCGAAGGCGGCUCACUGGACCAUUACUGACGCUGAGGUGCGAAAGCGUGGGGAGCAAGCAGGAUUAGAUACCCCCGUAGUCCCUGUCUCUUAUAA
RNAcentral lists this ribosomal RNA (301 nucleotides) under uncultured bacterium. RNAcentral's name for it is "partial 16S ribosomal RNA". It matches the Rfam family "Bacterial small subunit ribosomal RNA", at positions 509 to 809 of the family's 1533-position model. The record is from RNAcentral.